Molecule: ribosomal RNA, 301 nt
Filed under: uncultured bacterium
Lineage: Bacteria
Description: partial 16S ribosomal RNA
Rfam family: Bacterial small subunit ribosomal RNA
Source: RNAcentral
CAGUAGCCGCGGGAAUACGAGGGGGGCAAGCGUUGUUCGGAAUUAUUGGGCGUAAAGGGUGCGUAGGCGGCUUGACAAGUCUUGUGUGAAAUCUACGGGCUCAACCCAUAGUCUGCACGGGAAACUGUCGGGCUUGAGAAUGGGAGAGGUGAGUGGAAUUUCCGGUGUAGCGGUGAAAUGCGUAGAUAUCGGAAGGGACACCUGUGGCGAAAGCGGCUCACUGGACCAUUACUGACGCUGAGGCGCGAAAGCUAGGGGAGCAAACAGGAUUAGAUACCCCCGUAGUCCCUGUCUCUUAUAC